UGUAUGGCAUUAUCAGUAAAGAAGUUCUGAGUAAACACGUUGACGUUGAAUACCGCUUCUCUGCCGAACCUUAUAUUAGUGCCGCAUGCAGUCAUGUCUCAGUUUUAUCUAUAUGAAAACGCCUGCGGGCGCAGAAAACACUCUAAGGAAUUUUGCAAAUGGCAAAGAUUAAAGGUCAAGUUAAGUGGUUCAACGAGUCUAAAGGUUUUGGUUUCAUUACUCCGGCUGAUGGCAGCAAAGACGUGUUCGUACACUUCUCCGCUAUCCAGGGUAACGGCUUCAAAACUCUGGCUGAAGGCCAGAACGUUGAGUUCGAAAUUCAGGACGGCCAGAAAGGCCCAGCGGCUGUUAACGUAACCGCUA
Molecule: small RNA, 363 nt
Filed under: Kluyvera cryocrescens
Lineage: Bacteria; Pseudomonadati; Pseudomonadota; Gammaproteobacteria; Enterobacterales; Enterobacteriaceae
Description: cspA thermoregulator
Rfam family: cspA thermoregulator
Source: RNAcentral